GAUGAACGCUGGCGGCGUGCCUAAUACAUGCAAGUCGAGCGAAGCGGGGACGGGUGAGUAACACGCGGAUAACCCCCUAUAAGACUGGGAUAACUUCGGGAAACCGGAGCUAAACCGGAUACUUAUAGUUGAAUCUGCGCUGCAUUAGCUAGUUGGUAAGGUAACGGAUUACCAAGGAAACGAGGCAUAGCAGACCUGAGAGGGUGAUCGGCAACUCGGGAACGGGGACACGGUCCAGCCUCCUACGGGAGGCAGCAGUAGGGAUUCUUCCGCAAUGGGCGAAAGCCUAACGGAGCAACGCCGCGUGAGUGAUGAAGGUCUUCGGAGCGUAAAACUCUGUUAUUGGGGAAGCGGUACCUAAUCAGAAAGCCACGGCUAACUCCGUGCCAGCAGCCGCGGUAAUUC
Molecule: ribosomal RNA, 405 nt
Filed under: uncultured bacterium
Lineage: Bacteria
Description: partial 16S ribosomal RNA
Rfam family: Bacterial small subunit ribosomal RNA
Source: RNAcentral